CGGGAGACCGCCGGGGUCAACUCGGAGGAAGGUGGGGACGACGUCAAGUCAUCAUGCCCCUUAUGUCUUGGGCUGCACACGUGCUACAAUGGCCGGUACAAUGAGCUGCGAUACCGUGAGGUGGAGCGAAUCUCAAAAAGCCGGUCUCAGUUCGGAUUGGGGUCUGCAACUCGACCCCAUGAAGUCGGAGUCGCUAGUAAUCGCAGAUCAGCAUUGCUGCGGUGAAUACGUUCCCGGGCCUUGUACACACCGCCCGUCACGUCACGAAAGUCGGUAACACCCGAAGCCGGUGGCCCAACCCCUUGUGGGAGGGAGCUGUCG
Molecule: ribosomal RNA, 321 nt
Filed under: Rhodococcus sp. (in: high G+C Gram-positive bacteria)
Lineage: Bacteria; Bacillati; Actinomycetota; Actinomycetes; Mycobacteriales; Nocardiaceae
Description: bacterial SSU rRNA
Rfam family: Bacterial small subunit ribosomal RNA
Source: RNAcentral